UUUGAUUCUGUCAUGAAUAAGUGAAAUUAGGGGUUGAUUUUACUUGCUGGAAAUGUUGCUUUGAUUGUAUGGAUAUGUAAUAUGAAUGUUGAAAUGAUGAUUGGAAGGUUUAAAGUACAUAGAUACAACAUGGAAGCCAAAAACAGAAAACUGGCAGAAUAGGUUCCAACAGGACAGUCUGUGUUAGAAGCCUCAUAACUUAUUGUGUGAUCAUUGAAAUUAAGCCUAACAUAUACCAAAUGAAAGCUAAGACACAAAUCUCAAACUUUCAUGAAGUGACCAAAUUCUGAUUCUGUAGCUAAGUAUGUGAAAAUUGCUAGUGAACCUAAGCUGGUCACAGGGAAUUGUGCAUCCGGAGCAGUAUGUAUCUCCUAGACCAUAACUAAUGAUUUACUCAAUGAAAUGAAUUAAAACCAGUGCCAAAUGAACCCUGAAAAGUAUACCUAAAACUUUAUACAAGAAAGUUAAGCUUGAAUCUGUAUGCAAAUGUAUGCAUAUGAUAGGUUUUGUUAGAUUAAAAACAGAUACCAAAACUGUACUGGUUAGGACCUGAUUGAGCAGCUUGCAAAGAAAAAUUCAUAACUUAAGUUAGAAAGGUCAGAAUUAGAUGUCAUAUAUCUUGUUAGAAAGCUAAGACAUAAAUACACAAAGUUCAUGAAGAAAGGUGAGUCUAAUUAUGUCCACAAGAUACUUAAAAAUGUGAUACAAUCUCAGGCAGAAACAAACCUAAUUGUAAUUAUUGACCUAAAAGAGAUUGACAUGCUAGCUUUGUGGCCAAAUUAUGCACAUGCUAGCUUGACAUGCCUGCUUUAUGCACGUGCUAGCUUAAUAGACUAAAAAUUUGCAUACAUGUUCUUGAUGAAAUAGUAAUAUGUUCAUGACUGAAUAUUGUGUUCAUGAAUGAAGAUGGUCUAUUACACACAUAUGUAUGCUCCUAAGGACUCCUUUUUAUUGACAUAUUUGCUUGUUUCAACAGGGUAUGCAUCUACAUGAAUAAGUUUGAUACCAAUAAAUCUUUAACAUGUAAAAAUGUAUUCUUGGCCCUAGUAAACCUUAGUGGGAGUCAUAGAUAGCAUAAGGGUAUGGCAUGCCAUAUACAGUUUAGCAGUACUGCGCCCUAAUGGGCUACAUGAUAUGAUCUUAUCGACACAUUAUGUGUCAUACAGUUUCCCGGCUUUUUAGCCAUACAGGC
RNAcentral lists this long non-coding RNA (1192 nucleotides) under Manihot esculenta (cassava). RNAcentral describes it as "long non-coding RNA (MESC_LNC006595)". The record is from RNAcentral. Lineage: Eukaryota; Viridiplantae; Streptophyta; Magnoliopsida; Malpighiales; Euphorbiaceae.